This 446-nucleotide ribosomal RNA is filed under the name uncultured bacterium. RNAcentral's name for it is "partial 16S ribosomal RNA". It matches the Rfam family "Bacterial small subunit ribosomal RNA", at positions 338 to 795 of the family's 1533-position model. The record is from RNAcentral.
CCUACGGGUGGCAGCAGUCGAGAAUCAUUCACAAUGGGGGAAACCCUGAUGGUGCGACGCCGCGUGGGGGAAUGAAGGUCUUCGGAUUGUAAACCCCUGUCAUGUGGGAGCAAAUUAAAAAGAUAGUACCACAAGAGGAAGAGACGGCUAACUCUGUGCCAGCAGCCGCGGUAAUACAGAGGUCUCAAGCGUUGUUCGGAAUCACUGGGCGUAAAGCGUGCGUAGGCUGUUUCGUAAGUCGUGUGUGAAAGGCGCGGGCUCAACCCGCGGACGGCACAUGAGACUGCGAGACUAGAGUAAGGGAGGGGGAACCGGAAUUCUCGGUGUAGCAGUGAAAUGCGUAGAUAUCGAGAGGAACACUCGUGGCGAAGGCGGGUUCCUGGACAUUAACUGACGCUGAGGCACGAAGGCCAGGGGAGCGAAAGGGAUUAGAUACCCUGGUAGUC